This 74-nucleotide transfer RNA is filed under the name Anemone occidentalis. Its description in RNAcentral is "tRNA-Pro". Lineage: Eukaryota; Viridiplantae; Streptophyta; Magnoliopsida; Ranunculales; Ranunculaceae. The record is from RNAcentral.
UCAGACUCCAGCCAUUCCGAUCUCGCGUUUGUUUUGGGUACAAAAUGUCACGGGUUCAAAUCCUGUCAUCCCUA